Molecule: ribosomal RNA, 426 nt
Filed under: uncultured bacterium
Lineage: Bacteria
Description: partial 16S ribosomal RNA
Rfam family: Bacterial small subunit ribosomal RNA
Source: RNAcentral
GUGAGGAAUAUUGGGCAAUGGGCGCAAGCCUGACCCAGCAACGCCGCGUGAAGGAAGACGGUCUUCGGAUUGUAAACUUCUUUUGUCAGGGACGAAUAAUGACGGUACCUGGCGAAUAAGCCACGGCUAACUACGUGCCAGCAGCCGCGGUAAUACGUAGGUGGCAAGCGUUGUCCGGAUUUACUGGGUGUAACGGGCGAGUAGGCGGAUUUGCAAGUCAGGUGUGAAAGCCCGGGGCUUAACCCCGGGUCUGCAUUUGAAACUGCGGAUCUUGAGUAUCGGAGAGGCAGGCGGAAUUCCCGGUGUAGCGGUGGAAUGCGUAGAUAUCGGGAGGAACACCAGUGGCGAAGGCGGCCUGCUGGACGACAACUGACGCUGAGGAGCGAAAGCGUGGGGAGCAAACAGGAUUAGAAACCCUAGUAGUCC